UACGAAGGGGGCUAGCGUUGCUCGGAAUCACUGGGCGUAAAGGGUGCGUAGGCGGGUUUCUAAGUCAGAGGUGAAAUCCUGGAGCUCAACUCCAGAACUGCCUUUGAUACUGGAAGUCUUGAGUAUGGGAGAGGUGAGUGGAACUGCGAGUGUAGAGGUGAAAUUCGUGGAUAUUCGCAAGAACACCAGUGGCGAAGGCGGCUCACUGGCCCAUUACUGACGCUGAGGCACGAAAGCGUGGGGAGCAAACAGG
Molecule: ribosomal RNA, 253 nt
Filed under: uncultured bacterium
Lineage: Bacteria
Description: partial 16S ribosomal RNA
Rfam family: Bacterial small subunit ribosomal RNA
Source: RNAcentral